GAUAAGGAGCUUGCUCCUUUGACGUUAGCGGCGGACGGGUGAGUAACACGUGGGUAACCUACCUAUAAGACUGGGAUAACUUCGGGAAACCGGAGCUAAUACCGGAUAACAUUUGGAACCGCAUGGUUCUAAAGUGAAAGAUGGUUUUGCUAUCACUUAUAGAUGGACCCGCGCCGUAUUAGCUAGUUGGUAAGGUAACGGCUUACCAAGGCGACGAUACGUAGCCGACCUGAGAGGGUGAUCGGCCACACUGGAACUGAGACACGGUCCAGACUCCUACGGGAGGCAGCAGUAGGGAAU
RNAcentral lists this ribosomal RNA (300 nucleotides) under Staphylococcus sp. NQ8.1. RNAcentral's name for it is "bacterial SSU rRNA". It matches the Rfam family "Bacterial small subunit ribosomal RNA", at positions 70 to 362 of the family's 1533-position model. Lineage: Bacteria; Bacillati; Bacillota; Bacilli; Caryophanales; Staphylococcaceae. The record is from RNAcentral.